RNAcentral lists this ribosomal RNA (259 nucleotides) under uncultured bacterium. Its description in RNAcentral is "partial 16S ribosomal RNA". It matches the Rfam family "Bacterial small subunit ribosomal RNA", at positions 524 to 777 of the family's 1533-position model. The record is from RNAcentral.
UACGUAGGUGGCAAGCGUUGUUCGGAAUUAUUGGGUGCGUAAAAGGGCGCGUAGGCGGUCUUGUAAGUCAGCUGUGAAAGCCCGGGGCUCAACCCCGGAGGGUCGGCUGAUACUGCAGGACUGGAGUACGGAAGAGGUAGCUGGAAUUCCCGGUGUAGCGGUGAAAUGCGUAGAUAGUCGGGAGGAACACCUGAGGCGAAGGCGGGCUACUGGGCCGAGUACUGACGCUGAGGCGCGAAAGCCAGGGGAGCAAACGGGG